Molecule: long non-coding RNA, 1447 nt
Organism: Oncorhynchus tshawytscha (Chinook salmon)
Lineage: Eukaryota; Metazoa; Chordata; Actinopteri; Salmoniformes; Salmonidae
Exons: 5
Source: RefSeq, a predicted model, not a curated record
UGAAUGGCCAAUGCUGCCGAAAAUGUUAUGGACUUUUUGUUGAAGAACCCCUUUUAUUUUCUGGGGUACAUGGAAAAGUAAGUUGCAAAUUAAAUGCAGGGGUCGACCUCUGCCUGAGCUCAGCUUCAUGAAGGAUCAAAAGUUGAGGGCGUUCAAUACCAACUGGUAUCAAAAGUAUAUCUGGUUAACAGGGAACUUUAAUCGAAGCCGCAUUUAUCGCUGACCUUACCUGCUUUUUGGAAAGUCUGAGCCUUGGUCGAAAGGUGGGUACAGUGACCUGAAGAACAUUGAUCGUUCAGCUAAAUGGCAAAACAGAAGCAGGGAGCAUAUAAAUGCCCACAUCAGAUUCAAGCUUCUGGGAAAAAGCUGCAUCGAUUAUGACAAAGGUCUGCGUAUUCAAACUGCGCAACACAACGAGAAAGUAAGAAGAAACAGGGAUGUUAUCAAGCUGCUUAUCAACACAACUGCGUUUUUGGGCAUGCAAUAAUGUACUUUUAGAGGAUACGACGAGAGGUAAAGUUCCACCAACAAGGGCAACUACUACAAGGAGCUUGCAGAGCCAAGUCCCCUCCUGUUCCCUGAUUUAAGAGGUGAUGACUCCACUUCACUACCAUUGUCAACUUUCUCCUGACAUUAACUGAAGCCCCUUCUCAUGUGCCCGCUCUUACACUGGCACAUUGAAUACUUCCCCUCCAGGCACUUCAAAUCCUGUCCUGCACUGGUCAAGCCUCAUACCUCAACUCAACUCAUGCCUCAUACCUUCAUUCAAUCACUGCUGUAAUCCCUUUCCAACAUGGUAAAGGAAGAAACGAUGGAAAGACUAUUGUGAAAUGAUCUGAACAAAAAGCAGUCAAGCAGUCAGUCUGACAAACACACACACCAGACGAUAGAUUCGAGGAGAAACCCACCAAAAAUCCCUUCAGAACCUCACAGUCUGUCUUUUGUCAGGCUAUCUAGCGCUGCUAUCACCCUUUGUGAACGCACGCUGAUGCCCCACAGUAGGCCUCUGCUGCAUAUCUGUCUGCCUGUCCAUCAGUCACGGCUGAGUCAAACAUGACAGCCUCUGCCUGUGUGUCUGAGAGCGUUAAAGCACAGUGUAAUCUGACAACACAAAGCAGUAAGAGCUCUAAAAUAACUAUGAAAGCUCUACUCUGUACCCAUUGUUUUAUAAAGCUCUACUCUAUAACCAUUGUUUAAAAAAAGCUCUACUCUAUAGCCAUUGUUUUAAUAAAGCUCUACUCUAUAACCAUUGUUUUAAUAAAGCUCUACUCUGUACCCAUUGUUUUAAUAAAGCUCUACUCUAUAACCAUUGUUUAAAAAAAGCUCUACUCUGUACCCAUUGUUUUAAUAAAGCUCUACUCUAUAACCAUUGUUUUAAUAAAGCUCUACUCUAUAACCAUUGUUUUAAUAAAGCUCUACUCUAUAGCCAUUGUUUUGAAUAAAGCUC